CCCUAGCCCUGAUGGGAGGGAAAAUCCUUUUGUGUCCGCCGCAGCGGACAUAAAAGAUUGGAAGGACAGCGGGAAAUAGC
This is a non-coding RNA of Flavobacterium sp. ov086, 80 nucleotides long. The record is from Rfam. NCBI's taxonomy places the organism in Bacteria, Pseudomonadati, Bacteroidota, Flavobacteriia, Flavobacteriales, Flavobacteriaceae.